This is an RNA transcript of Lycium ferocissimum, 2286 nucleotides long. RefSeq lists it as uncharacterized. The transcript has 10 exons. The record is from RefSeq and is a predicted model, not a curated record. Lineage: Eukaryota; Viridiplantae; Streptophyta; Magnoliopsida; Solanales; Solanaceae.
AAGAAACAAGCUAGCGCCUUUCAAAAGGAUAAUAAGAGAACCACAAGGCCCAAUCACAGAGCAAUGGACGAACAAGAUCUUUAAAAAAAAACUCCUUGCUUUUGUUUCUAUUUCACUGAUCUAAAUUCAAUUUCUCAGUUGCCGAAAACUUGAAAUAAUGCUUAUGGUAGAACCUGCCGCCGUUACCGUCAGUUUCCCCGCCGUUAACUUCAACCGCACCUCUCGACGGUUAUCUCACUCGGCCAGCUUCUUAAUUCCUAGGAAUAAGUUUAGAAGGUCGAGGACGGAGCAUUGUGUUGGAAGAAUAAGAACAGGUAAGGAAAAAUGUGGAAUUAAAGCAAGUGCGAGAGAUCAGCCAUCUGGACCGGUGAAACAGAAUGCGAAGCCCUCGAGGUAUCAUCCAUCUGAAGACAUUUCGGAUUCGGAAAUUGGAGAGAAUGAGGAAGCUCAACUUACGCCAGCUGAAACUUCUAGAACAAUCAUUGAAGUAAACAGCAAAGCAACACUCAUGUUUUCAGGCGUGGUCAACAAUGAAGUGCAUGAGAACAUUUUCUGGCCAGACUUGCCUUACAUAACUGAUGAACUUGGAAACAUCUACUUUCAAGUAAAGAAUGAAGAAGACAUCCUGCAAACUCUGACAGCUGAAGAAAAUGUUGUGCAAGUCAUUAUAGGCCUAGAUACUGCCGAAAUGCUAAGUGAGCUAGAGUCAUAUGGUCAAUCUGAAGUUGAUUAUGGCAUAGACAAAUUUGGCGAUGAGGACAGUGAUAUUGAUGACGAAGAUGACCUCGAUGAAGAUGACACUGAUGAUGAUGAAGAUGAUAAUGACUAUGACAAGGAUUGGGUUGCCAUUCUUGACGAUGAAGAUGAGGAUGGGGAUUCUGAUGAGUCAUUGGGGGACUGGGCUAAAUUAGAAACCAUGCGCUCUUCUCAUCCAAUGUAUUUUGCCAAAAAGAUUUCUGAGGUUGUGACAGAUGACCCUGUUGAUUUUAUGGACCAGCCUCCUGCAGGUCUUGCUAUACAAGGCCUUCUAAGGCCAUCCUUCCUCGAGGAGCACACUACUAUUCAAAAGCAGAUAUCCGAAGAUAGAUUGAGUGACACUGACGUAAAUCAGAUGGAAAAUGAUGACGACCACAAAGAAAAGGGUGGUAUUCAAAUAAAUGGCCACAAAUAUGAGAGUGGAUCUUCACAAGAUAGUUCAAGCUGGGAAGAAUUGGAGAAGGAUGAGAACCUAGGAAAUGGAACUUCAUUUUACAAGCUAGAGAUGAUCAAAAUUCAGUUAAUUUCUUCCAAUGGGAAUCAGAUCUUUGUUGAGUUAGAUAAUUUUAGGAGAGCUAGACCUGAUGCAAUAGCACAUUCAGCUGCCAAAAUAAUAUCUCGGCUUAAAGCUGCUGGAGAGAAGACUACGCAGGCUCUUAGAUCUCUCUGUUGGAGAUGCAAGGGAAUUCAGGUGGAGUUUCUUCUGGCAGGAGGUGUCUCUGAUUGGUGUGGACAGCCUUGGUUUUGACUUGAGAGUUUGCUCUGGGACACAGGUCCAAACCCUACGGUUUUCAUUUAGAAAGCGGGCUCUAUCUAUGGGUGAUAGGAGUUAGACACCACCGUUGAUGUGCACGACCACCUCAUCUAAAAGUUUAAUCUGUUAGAGAGUCAUAAUUAUGUCUUGCAUGCCCUCACAUGCAUGCCUAAUUCUUUGUUAUUGGCCAAAGACGUGUGAAUUUCUUUUCAAUGAAGAGUGGCGGUAAGAAACAUGACCAGUAAGGAUUCAUAUAUCGGACCCCAAAUUGUUUGGGACUGAGGCAUAGUUGUUGUUGAAGGGUGGAAGUGAAACGUGAACGUAAGACUUUUGCAUGCUCUGAUGCGCGAAGGUGAAGUAUGUGAACACUUUAUUUAAACCUUAACCAAUUAGAGAGGGCACACUUAUGUUUGCUCAAUUAUGUCUUCAACAGCUAGAAGUUGAAAUAUAAUGUGAAACCAAUUAAGCGGCAUCCUAUGUGAAAAUUUGAAAACCCAGAUUGAGUAGAGAAAAGGGAUAUGCAACCUGCACAUACAUUUCUCAUAUUUGUUCGUCUUAAAUCCUAAAACCUUCUAGGUUAUUGGGAUCAUAUGUUCUACUACCGGAGGUAGUCCGUUUUUGUUCUUAUUUCUUCCGGGCAAGAGAAAGGUCAACCUUGAAGAAAUAUGGUGUGUUUGGUAUAAAGCAAAAUUCAUGGGAAAAUGAGUGAUCAUCUCACAUAAUGGUGUUUGGUAGGUAAAGCAAAAAUAUUUUCAAAAUAUAUAACGUCACAUAAC